AACGAACGCUGGCGGCGUGGAUUAGGCAUGCAAGUCGGACGAUCUCGUGUAAUCGGGAUAGUGGCAAAAGGGUGAGUAACGCGUGGGUAAUUUACCUUCAGGCUCAGAAUAACUUGCCGAAAGGCGAGCUAAUACUGGAUAAGACCACGACUAGAUUUUUCUAGACGAGGUUAAAGCCGGGGACCCCAACAGGGCCUGGCACCUUUAGAUGAGCCCGCGUCCUAUCAGCUUGUUGGUGCGGUAACGGCUCACCAAGGCAUUUGACGGGUAGCUGGUCUGAGAGGAUGGUCAGCCACACUGGGACUGAGACACUGCCCAGACUCCUACGGGAGGCUGCAGUCGAGAAUCUUUAGCAAUGCCCGAAAGGGUGACUAUGCGACGCCGCGUGAGUGAUGAAGGCCUUCGGGUUGUAAAACUCUGUCAGGUGGGAUGAAUGCUUCGCUUUAAAUAGAAGCGAAGCUUGACAGUACCACCAGAGGAAGCCACGGCUAACUCCGUGCCAGCAGCCGCGGUAAUACGGAGGUGGCAAGCGUUGUUCGGAUUUAUUGGGUGUAAAGGGCAUGUAGGUGUUCUAGUAAGUUCUGAUUGAAAUCCUUCGGCUCAACCGGAGAACGUGUCAGAAUACUGCUAGAAUUGAGUGCGGAAGAGGAGAACGGAAUUCCCGGUGUAAGGGUGAAAUCUGUAGAUAUCGGGAGGAACACCAGUGGCGAAAGCGGUUCUCUGGUCCGCAACUGACACUGAAAUGCGAAAGCUAGGGGAGCAAACAGGAUUAGAUACCCUGGUAGUCCUAGCCGUAAACGAUGGGCACUAGGUGUAGGCCCGCAAGGGUCUGUGCCGCAGUUAACACAUUAAGUGCCCCACCUGGGGACUACGACCGCAAGGUUGAAACUCAAAGGAAUUGACGGGGGCCCGCACAAGCGGUGGAGCAUGUGGUUUAAUUCGAUGCAACGCGAAGAACCUUACCUGGGCUUGAACUGUAGUGGCCAACCUGCGAGAUCGGGCGUUCCCUUCGGGGACUGCUACAGAGGUGCUGCAUGGCUGUCGUCAGCUCGUGUCGUGAGAUGUUGGGUUAAGUCCCGCAACGAGCGCAACCCCUAUCUCUAGUUGCCAGCGGAUAAUGCCGGGAACUCUAGAGAGACUGCCCCGGAAAUCGGGGAGGAGGGUGGGGAUGACGUCAAGUCCUCAUGGCCUUUAUGUCCAGGGCUACACACGUGCUACAAUGGACGGUACAAAGGGCUGCGAAAGCGCGAGCUCGAGCCAAUCCCAAAAACCCGUCCUCAGUUCGGAUUGCAGUCUGCAACUCGACUGCAUGAAGGUGGAAUCGCUAGUAAUCCCGGAUCAGCAUGCCGGGGUGAAUACGUUCCCGGGCCUUGUACACACCGCCCGUCACAUCACGAAAGUCGGCUGUACCGGAAGCCGGUGGGCUAACCCGCAAGGGAGGCAGCUGUCGAUGGUAUGGUCGGCGAUUGGGGUG
Molecule: ribosomal RNA, 1474 nt
Filed under: uncultured bacterium
Lineage: Bacteria
Description: partial 16S ribosomal RNA
Rfam family: Bacterial small subunit ribosomal RNA
Source: RNAcentral